RNAcentral lists this ribosomal RNA (662 nucleotides) under uncultured bacterium. RNAcentral's name for it is "bacterial SSU rRNA". It matches the Rfam family "Bacterial small subunit ribosomal RNA", at positions 9 to 668 of the family's 1533-position model. The record is from RNAcentral.
GAGUUUGAUCCUGGCUCAGAUUGAACGCUGGCGGAAUGCUUUACACAUGCAAGUCGAACGGUAGAGGGGGCAACCCCUUGAGAGUGGCGAACGGGUGAGUAAUAUAUCGGAACGUGCCCAGUCGUGGGGGAUAACGUAGCGAAAGUUACGCUAAUACCGCAUACGAUCUACGGAUGAAAGCGGGGGACUCGCAAGAGCCUCGCGCGAUUGGAGCGGCCGAUAUCAGAUUAGGUAGUUGGUGGGGUAAAGGCUCACCAAGCCAACGAUCUGUAGCUGGUCUGAGAGGACGACCAGCCACACUGGAACUGAGACACGGUCCAGACUCCUACGGGAGGCAGCAGUGGGGAAUUUUGGACAAUGGACGCAAGUCUGAUCCAGCCAUUCCGCGUGCAGGAUGAAGGCCCUCGGGUUGUAAACUGCUUUUGUACGGAACGAAAAGGUUUCUAUUAAUACUAGGAGCUCAUGACGGUACCGUAAGAAUAAGCACCGGCUAACUACGUGCCAGCAGCCGCGGUAAUACGUAGGGUGCAAGCGUUAAUCGGAAUUACUGGGCGUAAAGCGUGCGCAGGCGGUUAUGUAAGACAGAGGUGAAAUCCCCGGGCUCAACCUGGGAACUGCCUUUGUGACUGCAUAGCUAGAGUACGGUAGAGGGGGAUGGAAUU